This 474-nucleotide ribosomal RNA is filed under the name uncultured bacterium. RNAcentral describes it as "SSU rRNA". It matches the Rfam family "Bacterial small subunit ribosomal RNA", at positions 26 to 518 of the family's 1533-position model. The record is from RNAcentral.
AGGACGAACGCUGGCGGCGUGCUUAACACAUGCAAGUCGAGCGGAAAGGCCCUUCGGGGUACUCGAGCGGCGAACGGGUGAGUAACACGUGAGCAACCUGCCCUUAGCUUCGGGAUAGCUCCGGGAAACCGGAAUUAAUACCGAAUAUGACCAUGGCCGACAUCAGCCAUGGUGGAAAGUUUUUCGGCUAGGGAUGGACUCGCGGCCUAUCAGCUAGUUGGUGAGGUAACGGCCCACCAAGGCGACGACGGGUAGCCGGCCUGAGAGGGCGACCGGCCACACUGGGACUGAGACACGGCCCAGACUCCUACGGGAGGCAGCAGUGGGGAAUAUUGCGCAAUGGGCGAAAGCCUGACGCAGCGACGCCGCGUGGGGGAUGAAUGCCUUCGGGUUGUAAACCCCUUUCAGCAGGGACGAAGCGAAAGUGACGGUACCUGCAGAAGAAGCGCCGGCUAACUACGCGCCAGCAGCCGC